UACUCCCUCUAGAGUAAAUUCAGGCAGUCUAACAUCACCACUGCAAAUCCUCAUUCUUUUUUACUUUCUCACCCAAACUUACAAAAAAAAUCAGUAUAACAGUAAAUUAUUUCUUUAGCAUCAGUGACUAAUGUUAACAUCAAUUCCAGCAUUUCUCUCCAUCAGAAAUUUUCCAGAUUGUAAUAUAUGCAUCUGGACUGCAGUCUAAUGGAUGCAAAAGUUGAGUCAGGAUGGCUUCCCUGGCAAUAAGAAACCAGGAGAGGAAGAAGAGAGAAACACUUGAUUACUACAAAACCAACCACAGACAUCCUACUGCUUCCAUUUUUGUAUUAAGACAUUUGUCUGAAGAACCUAAGAAAUGUACUUUCAGCGAAGUUCACUCUCUAACUUGGAUUUUAAUUUCCUGUUGAUCAGUAAUCAUGAGAAUGAAUAUGCAAGCUUAAAAGCCUGAGCUAAAACUGUUCACUUCCGUAUCUACCUGUACAAAGAAACCCAGCAGGGACAAGUGAAGUUACAAGAGCCUUUCAGGUAGCAGUUUCUCUGGCCUUUCAGCAGUGUGCAGGAGCAGUUCCAUUAAUGCUGAUUUACAAUAAUGUAAAUAAAAUUCUUGCUGAUUGUAUUUGGACUCCUUAUACUGGCAACAAAAAAGCACUCUAAAAAGCAAAAGUGUUUACUUUCAAAUAAAAUGUACUAAAGUUUUGAUUUUCCUCUACACAUGAUCUGCCUGUAGAAAACGAAACUUUCUGAUUUUGCAUUAGCAAUGUUACAUGUUUCAGUGCUUCACUAAAUUGUAAGUAACCAUUCAAGUCAACUAGAAUAUAUUGGAGAUUCUUCAUCUUUGAGAAAGCUGAUCACCUUCUAAUUUUUAGAGGGGUACAACGUAACAAAGUAACAAACAGCUUUUCUAACUUAUGAAGCUGUUUUCUCACGUAAAGGUAGGGUGUUAAUAUAUAGUAUGCUUCACUUUCUUCAGCCACCAACUCUGAUUUGAUAAUUUUUAAUAUUGACACUUACAGCUUGCAUAGUCAUCUACCCCCAUGGCUUUUGUAAAAUAUUGCUUAAGAAUAGACAAAAACAACGUGUAGUGAU
This is a long non-coding RNA of Numida meleagris (helmeted guineafowl), 1089 nucleotides long. RefSeq lists it as uncharacterized. The transcript has 3 exons. The record is from RefSeq and is a predicted model, not a curated record. Lineage: Eukaryota; Metazoa; Chordata; Aves; Galliformes; Numididae.